Equus caballus (horse) is the source of this 3434-nucleotide long non-coding RNA. NCBI's taxonomy places the organism in Eukaryota, Metazoa, Chordata, Mammalia, Perissodactyla, Equidae. The record is from Ensembl.
AUUAAACACCAAGAGCAAUAAUGGGAAGCCGUGUCUGGUGGUAAUGAAAUUAAGUGUCUUUAUGAGGUCACUUUAUUCUUUUUCUCUCCGGCUCUCUUGCCCUCCGAGUACAUGGUGACUGCCGUUCCUAAUUGCUGUUUCAAUAAAAUGCACAAUGCUGUCCAUUUUGUGUUUUAAUUCAAUGUAUUUCUAGGGCCUUCGGGAUCAUUAAACCCUCCAUCAAGAGAGUGCAGUAGAAGUGGCGGUUAUGAAAGCUUUUGGAAGUGGCCCAGGACAGCAGAUUGAGGACAGCAGAAAAGGUGGAGAAGGAAUAAAAAAAGACCUGUUGGACUUAGUACUGAACCCCAAAUGAUGAGAACCAGUGCUCAAGCUUGAGCCCAUGGGGGUCCUUGGUACAAGCUCUGAAGUCAGGACCGGGCCCCUCCUGGAGGGACUGGUGUCCAUCGUUAUACAUGGACAAGAACCAUACUUUUUAGUUUGGGAGCACAUUCACAUGCAUAAUUUCCUUUGAACAUUGUGACAAUCUCAUAUGAUAAAUUGUUACUCCCACUUUUCAGAUGAGGAAACAGAGGCUCUUAGAGUUUAAGUGACGUGACUCCCACUGCUUGUUAGAAGCCAAAUCUGGGAUUCUUCCCUUUAUGCCAGGAUGCCUCAUGGCUGUUGAGCCAAACUUGCCCUACUAAGGUCAUGGUAACAUUACUUAAUUUAAUAAUGCAAGAAAUAUUUAUUGAGCAUCUACUAUAUGCUGGGACUAUGAUGAUGAGCAGAACAGACUCCUUCCCCAUCCUCAUAGAACCUAGAUGUGGCUGAGAAGAGUUAAAUAAGCAACAACACGCAGUGAGUUGGGUGACAGAUUAGAGAAAGCAUCCUGUUGGGGAAGCUGCCGGCAGGAGCUCCCAAUCUAAUCUACGGGACAAGCAACCGUCCUGGAGAAAGUGAGGUUGCAGCUGAGGCCUGAGUGCGGAAGUUAAAAAGAGGAAGGAGGAGGAAGAGUGUUGGAAGGUGCGGCUGAAACGUAAGAGGGAGUGGUGGCUGCACGACUUUAUUUAGGAGGGAGCAUCAAUUGAUAGGACUAAGGAACUGAGUUCAUGCAGGGCCUGAAGGGGAAAGAGGAAUGAGGGAUGACUCCUCAGUUCCUGGCUCGGCCGCCUGGUGGUGGUGGUGGGGGUGAUGGUGCCAUUUACUGAGCCAGGGAGCACUGUGGGGGGAGCCCAAGGGUAGAGGUGGGGUGGGAUAAGAUGGUAAUUAUUGGGCAUGUCCCACUCUUAUAAAAAUGAGCCCAAAAAGGCUGUACAGCAGGUCACAUCCAGUGGUAUCUCAAGGCUAAGAAGUGAAUUAAAGCCCUAGUAUAGACAUGGUGUUGACUCUUUCGUAGGCUGCCCGUAAAGCCUGUGUACGCUGUUUGUUUCCACUCUGUUGAGGAACUGAAAGGACAGAAUGAAACCUCAAGGCGAUCACCACCAGCUGGAAUGAUAAGGCCAAAAGUGAUGGAAUUUAAUAGGGGCAAAUGUAAACAACACCAAAACACGAAGCCAAAAUCAGUUGUUGACUUAGCAGCUCACGUCAACAGAACCUAACAGGGUCAGCUGGCUGUGAAUUCUGUAUAAGCCAACAGUGUCAUACGGCUGCCGCUUCUGCCACUUCAAUGCCACCCGGAUGUUGAAGUAUCGUGGAGGAACCCGUGAAGGUGGUUAUCUGACCAGAACAGAGAAGAACCUGUAAGAAACAUGCAGCAGCCCAGCAGGUGCCAUUCAGAGGAUGAUGGGGGCCUCUGAGGACAGGGGGAUCAAGGAGGACGUCAUGGGAGAGCUGCGGGCCAGGGAAGAUGUCACUGGCAUGGCAUGAGUUGUGGAAAAUAAGAAAAUCAGCUGACCAAGGUCUUGGGAAAUAAGAUGGGACAGUGCAGCCUUUGGUGACACAGACGACUUCAAACAUGUCUGAUCACUGAGCUAACUGUCGAAGUGUGAUAUUUAAAGUAACUUCUUAUGAUUGCUAACAGAUUGCAUGGCGACAUGGGUCAUGCACAGUGUGACCAAAUUUAUCUUGAGCUCGUAAAGAAAAGAAAGAUCUGAUGAAAACCGUAUACCUGGUUUUAUUUACAUUAAUGAAGCUAUGUGACAUAAAGGCCACAAUGAUUUCUCUCCUUUUCUUUUGUGGAAAAAUUCUUUUUUGUUUUUUUGAGGAAGAUCAGCACUGAGCUAACUGCUGCCAAUCCUCCCCUCCCCGCCAAGGAAGACCAGCCCCGAGCCAACAUCCAUGCCCAUCUUCCUCCACUUUACAUGCGGGACACCUACCACAGCAUGGCGUGCCAAGUGGUGCCAUGUCCGCACCCGGGGUCUGAACCAGCGAACCCCAGGCCGCCAGGGCGGAACGUGCGCGCUUAACCCCUGCGUCACCAGGCCGGCCCUGUGGAAAAAUUCUUGAGAAUGGAAUUUUGAAGUCAGGAAGACUGAAUGAAGUCCUUGUGUCUAUCCAUCAAGAAAGUAUAUCCAAAGAAAACGGAGGGUUUUAUGUAUAUGCGGAUGAAGAAAGCUCAAUUUGAAAAAGUUAGGAUACUUUGAAAAUGUGGAUUUGUCAUUCAUAAAAACGUUUUCUUGAAGCGUUCUUGAAGUUCCUUACCAGGUGCCAAAGGAAAGAAGCCUCGCAGGACUGGAGACAGUUUACCUGAAGCCACAUGCACUGGGAAUGCGGAGCACACUGGAAGUGGCUCUCUAGUCAAACGAGGUCCUUCCAUGAAGAGUAGUUGGCAUGUUUUGAAGCAGGUUAUGGAGGAAUUGGCAGCCUUGCCAUUCACUCAGCAAGUCACUCGAUGAAACUACAGACAUCUUUCAAUGUAUCCCCUUCCUUAUUUUGUUCAUGACAACCCUGCUAACAUGAACGAGGAAGAAUUCUUGUUCUGUGGGCGCCUUUGGAAAUGAUAAAGACUGCUGAUGUUUUGGAAAUGGUAUAAAGGUUUCUUUUUUUUGUUUUUUGUUUUUGUCAAACAAACCUGACUGGACGGAAAAGCUUCCUAUCCUUGCACAGGAGUUCUCGCAAUGCGUUCCUGCUUGGUUGCACAUCCAAUGUUGCUCCUUCAGGGAAAAAAGGAGCAGUUCAUAUUGUUUUCACUUGCCGUAGUUAAUGCAGAUGUGUUCUGGCUCUUCCAAAAGUCCUAAGAGAAGUUUUGUUGACAGCCAUAAAAGUCAUCACCUUUCUCAAAGCUGGUUUCUGAAUCAUAAUAGUUUCGCAAGUUCUGUCAGGGAACAAUAGCAGAAAACGAGGCGCUUCUUUACCACAGAGAAGCUCACUGACUUUCAAUGGUAAAGUUUCACUUUUUCUGGGGGGAAAAAAAAAGGAAAUCCAUUCUUGGAACACUUUGAAAGAAAGAAUUUUGUCUGCGGGUUGGUUGGCUUACCUGGCAGAUAUUUUUAACCAUGUGAAUGAGAUGACUCUUC